RNAcentral lists this long non-coding RNA (237 nucleotides) under Lathyrus oleraceus (garden pea). RNAcentral describes it as "Pisum sativum (pea) long non-coding RNA (PSAT_LNC038611)". The record is from RNAcentral. Lineage: Eukaryota; Viridiplantae; Streptophyta; Magnoliopsida; Fabales; Fabaceae.
AAGUACCAGAUUAACAGAAUCAGAGGUUCCUGCAACUUAUUCUUUUUCCAAUGCCCCUUGGUAAUCAUUAUCCUACCUGACCGUUAGAUCUCUUUUUGUUUUCGGUUCAGGCAUUUCUUCCAUUAUUUUUUCUUUUUCUUUUCUUUUUCCUUUUUCUUUUCUCUUUUUUUUUUUUUAGCAGGAUCGACCUCGACUCCUCUUUCGUUCACAAUAAGCCUCGGCAACUUACCGGACAAC